GACGAACGCUGGCGGCGUGCUUAACACAUGCAAGUCGAACGGAAAGGCCCUGCUUUUGUGGGGUGCUCGAGUGGCGAACGGGUGAGUAACACGUGAGUAACCUGCCCUUGACUUUGGGUUAACUUCAGGAAACUGGGGCUAAUACCGGAUAGGAGCUCCUGCUGCAUGGUGGGGGUUGGAAAGUUUCGGCGGUUGGGGAUGGACUCGCGGCUUAUCAGCUUGUUGGUGGGGUAGUGGCUUACCAAGGCUUUGACGGGUAGCCGGCCUGAGAGGGUGACCGGCCACAUUGGGACUGAGAUACGGCCCAGACUCCUACGGGAGGCAGCAGUGGGGAAUAUUGCACAAUGGGCGGAAGCCUGAUGCAGCAACGCCGCGUGCGGGAUGACGGCCUUCGGGUUGUAAACCGCUUUCGCCUGUGACGAAGCGUGAGUGACGGUAAUGGGUAAUGAAGCACCGGCUAACUACGUG
Molecule: ribosomal RNA, 468 nt
Filed under: uncultured bacterium
Lineage: Bacteria
Description: partial 16S ribosomal RNA
Rfam family: Bacterial small subunit ribosomal RNA
Source: RNAcentral